This 234-nucleotide ribosomal RNA is filed under the name uncultured bacterium. Its description in RNAcentral is "partial 16S ribosomal RNA". It matches the Rfam family "Bacterial small subunit ribosomal RNA", at positions 118 to 347 of the family's 1533-position model. The record is from RNAcentral.
UGAGUAACCUGCCCUUGACUCUGGGAUAAGCACUGGAAACGGUGUCUAAUACCGGAUAUGAGCUUCAGCCGCAUGGCUAGGAGCUGGAAAGAAUUUCGGUCAAGGAUGGACUCGCGGCCUAUCAGGUAGUUGGUGAGGUAAAGGCUCACCAAGCCGACGACGGGUAGCCGGCCUGAGAGGGUGACCGGCCACACUGGGACUGAGACAUCGGCCCAGACCUCCGUACGGGAGCAG